Molecule: long non-coding RNA, 837 nt
Organism: Poecile atricapillus (Black-capped chickadee)
Lineage: Eukaryota; Metazoa; Chordata; Aves; Passeriformes; Paridae
Exons: 3
Source: RefSeq, a predicted model, not a curated record
AGGGCGGCGGCCGGAGCCCCGCGCCCGGCGGAGCGGAGCGGAGCAGAGCGGAGCGAGGGCCGGCACCCCGCGGCGGCGGCGGGGAGCGCCCGCCCGCCCGGCCGGCACCACAGCGCCCCCAGCCCCCGCCGCUCCGCGCCUGCACCGCCAGCCCGCCCGGCGCCCCCACACAAAGUCCCAGCACUCGAUGAAAGAGGCUGGAGUUCCUGUCUUCACCCUUUCUCCGCUGCCUCCCUGUUCUACCAGUCUGUUCUGUGUCCAGGCAACUGCAAAAAGACAUUUCAAAGGCUCCUGCCGUGCCAUGUAGAUGUUUUCUCUUGUUAGUUUGGACUGCAGGAUCAAGUCCCUCGUUUGCCAUUUUGUGUGGCAGCAAGCCCAAGGAAAUCUUGCUUGACAGCUCUGUUUUCUCAAAGUGCUGCAUUUCUUCGGGCUGGAUUCUGUAAAGAUCCUGCAGGCUACAGAGCUCCUUGGAGCAAGCGAUAAUGUGCUUUGUGUUCCUGCUGAAAUGUACCUGUGUACCAUGGGAGAGGGAGCUUGGAAAACUGGGUGCACCCUGGCAAGGAGAUGGUUGGAAUAAAGUUUUCUUGUGUUAUAAUGUUUUGAGGAAUCAUUCUCAUCUGUUCAUUUGAGGAAGGUUUUUCUAAAGUUAGAUUUGAUCUGUGUAAAUGCUAACUUCUUUCAACAGGCACUAAUAGAGUACUGGAAAAGGAAGCACAGUGAAUUUGAAGUUUAAAUCUCAAAUGAUGGCAGCAACCAGCAAUACAUCCAAAAUAUUUGUAAGCAUGUUGUACAGAUUUCUUUUUAAGAAUUGGAUGAAAAUCACAUUAAAAUCUGUUA